RNAcentral lists this ribosomal RNA (253 nucleotides) under uncultured bacterium. RNAcentral describes it as "partial 16S ribosomal RNA". It matches the Rfam family "Bacterial small subunit ribosomal RNA", at positions 524 to 776 of the family's 1533-position model. The record is from RNAcentral.
UACGUAGGGACCAAGCGUUGUUCGGAUUUACUGGGCGUAAAGGGCGCGUAGGCGGCGUGACAAGUCACUUGUGAAAUCUCUGAGCUUAACUCAGAACGGCCAAGUGAAACUGUUGUGCUAGAGUGCAGAAGGGGCAAUCGGAAUUCUUGGUGUAGCGGUGAAAUGCGUAGAUAUCAAGAGGAACACCUGAGGUGAAGACGGGUUGCUGGGCUGACACUGACGCUGAGGCGCGAAAGCCAGGGGAGCAAACGGA